GCUAAUCCACUUUAACAGCUAAUCCACUUUAACAGCUAAUCCACUUUAACAUCCAUUCCAUUUUAACAGCUAAUCCACUUUAACAUCAAUUCCAUUUUAACAGCUAAUCCACUUUAACAUCCAUUCCAUUUUAACAGCUAAUCCACUUUAACAGCUAAUCCACUUUAACAUCCAUUCCAUUUUAACAGCUAAUCCACUUUAACAGCUAAUCCACUUUAACAGCUAAUCCACUUUAACAGCUAAUCCACUUUAACAUCCAUUCCAUUUUAACAGCUAAUCCACUUUAACAUCCAUUCCAUUUUAACAGCUAAUCCACUUUAACAUCCAUUCCAUUUUAACAGCUAAUCCACUUUAACAGCUAAUCCACUUUAACAGCUAAUCUACUUUAACAGCUAAUCCACUUUAACAGCUAAUCCACUUUAACAGCUAAUCUACUUUAACAGCUAAUCCACUUUAACAUCCAUUCCACCUCAACAGCUAAUCCACUUUAACAGCUAAUCCACCUUAACAACCAUUCCACUUUAAAAGCCAUUCCACCUUAACAGCCAUUCCACCUUAACAGCCAUUCCACCUUAACAGUCAAUAAAUGCUAAUGUCCUCUCCGUCAGCUGUCUGUCUGUCUGUCUCUUUGUGGAUAAGUGAGUUUAUAAUGAGAUGAAUAACAAUCUAAAUAUUGUGUUUAGUGGCUUCAAAGAGAUUCAAACCGAGUUCACUGAUACUGAGUUAAUGACAGGUAAACGCUCCUCUAUUCCUAAUUAUCCAGAAUCAAAAAGUCCACUAAAGUGUAUAAAUCAAAGUGGAUCAGGGAAGUUCUGAGUGAACAAUUCUUAAAAUAAAGCACAGUGAAAACUUAAUGGGCACAAUUUAGACUAUAUUUUAAUAUAUUCUGAGUAAAAACUGUCUUUUAAAAGUCAGAAUUGAUCUUUAGUAUCUCAGUAUCAGCUGGAGGUGAUGCGUCGCUUCAUGUUCAUUCAAACCUUUAAACAAUCUGUGAGUCUAUGAAUCUAUAAGAUCAGUAUUAUUUAAACGUGUUUCAGUAACAGCUGUAUCAGUGUUUGAGUGUCUUAUAAAAGAUAACCCACCGGGGAAAUAACCAUGAGUCGUUAGGAAUAACAGAUGAUGGUCAAAUAAGUUGGUGUUUGACUAUAUAAGAUAAUAUCUGGAAUAAAUGACCAUCAUUGUGUCAUCAAAAUACAGUUAAACCAACAUUUUGUAUAUUUCUUUAACUUUUAAAGUGCCCGUAUUAGUGAGCCUUAUUUAUAAUAAUAACUUUUAAAUAUUUAGUAAUUUAAUAUAUUACAUUUUAAUAUUUCUUAUGUCGUUCUACCUCAUGAUUUUAUUAAACAGUAUUGUUAUUAUUCCUAACGUUGCAUAUCUUUAUUUUCCUGAAUUUUUUAUCGCACUGAUUUUAUUUAUUUAAAAAUAUCUAAUUUAUGAGUUUUCUACUUUCUGAGACGGUGAUCCUGAGGGUUUUUAUCCGUCAUGUUUCUAACGUGUGACGCGUGUUUCUCCGUCUGUCAAUGUGUUAUAAAGUGAUUUCAGUGAAGUGCUUUUAUUUUGAAAGGGAGAACCACAGUAUGAUUAAACGGGGACCAAACUUAACAAAACCUUAAUGUUCAAAAGGACAAACGGUGAUCUGUCAUUGUUCUGAAAUAAAAUGUUAAAUUAAA
Long non-coding RNA from Notothenia coriiceps (black rockcod), 1670 nucleotides. RefSeq lists it as uncharacterized. The record is from RefSeq and is a predicted model, not a curated record. The transcript has 2 exons. Lineage: Eukaryota; Metazoa; Chordata; Actinopteri; Perciformes; Nototheniidae.